This 492-nucleotide ribosomal RNA is filed under the name uncultured bacterium. RNAcentral's name for it is "partial 16S ribosomal RNA". It matches the Rfam family "Bacterial small subunit ribosomal RNA", at positions 29 to 507 of the family's 1533-position model. The record is from RNAcentral.
AGUGAACGCUGGCGGUAGGCCUAACACAUGCAAGUCGAACGGCAGCACAGUAAGAGCUUGCUCUUACGGGUGGCGAGUGGCGGACGGGUGAGGAAUACAUCGGAAUCUACUUUUUCGUGGGGGAUAACGUAGGGAAACUUACGCUAAUACCGCAUACGACCUACGGGUGAAAGCAGGGGAUCUUCGGACCUUGCGCGAUUGAAUGAGCCGAUGUCGGAUUAGCUAGUUGGCGGGGUAAAGGCCCACCAAGGCGACGAUCCGUAGCUGGUCUGAGAGGAUGAUCAGCCACACUGGAACUGAGACACGGUCCAGACGCCUACGGGAGGCAGCAGUGGGGAAUAUUGGACAAUGGGCGCAAGCCUGAUCCAGCCAUACCGCGUGGGUGAAGAAGGCCUUCGGGUUGUAAAGCCCUUUUGUUGGGAAAGAAAAGCAGCAGGUUAAUACCCCGCUGUUCUGACGGUACCAAAAGAAUAAGCACCGGCUAACUUCGUG